AUACGAAGGGGGCUAGCGUUGUUCGGAAUUACUGGGCGAAAAGCGCGCGUAGGCGGAUUGGUCAGUUAGGGGUGAAAUCCCAGGGCUUAACCCUGGAACUGCCUCUAAUACUGCCAGUCUUGAGUUCGGGAGAGGUGAGUGGAAUUCCUAGUGUAGAGGUGAAAUUCGUAGAUAUUAGGAAGAACACCAGUGGCGAAGGCGGCUCACUGGCCCGAUACUGACGCUGAGGCGCGAAAGCGUGGGGAGCAAACAGGAUUAGAUACCCUAGUAGUCC
This 274-nucleotide ribosomal RNA is filed under the name uncultured bacterium. Its description in RNAcentral is "partial 16S ribosomal RNA". It matches the Rfam family "Bacterial small subunit ribosomal RNA", at positions 523 to 796 of the family's 1533-position model. The record is from RNAcentral.